CCUACGGGUGGCAGCAGUAGGGAAUAUUGCUCAAUGGGGGAAACCCUGAAGCAGCAACGCCGCGUGGAGGAUGAAGGUUUUAGGAUUGUAAACUCCUUUUGUGAGAGAAGAUAAUGACGGUAUCUCACGAAUAAGCACCGGCUAACUCCGUGCCAGCAGCCGCGGUAAUACGGAGGGUGCAAGCGUUACUCGGAAUCACUGGGCGUAAAGAGGGCGCAGGCGGGUUUGUAAGUCAGAUGUGAAAUCCUGGGGCUUAACUACAGAACUGCAUUUGAAACUAUGAGUCUAGAGUGUGGGAGAGGUAGGUGGAAUUCUUGGUGUAGGGGUGAAAUGCGUAGAUAUCAGGAAGAAUACUGAUUGCGAAGGCGGCCUACUGGAACAUUACUGACGCUGAUGCACGAAAGCGUGGGGAGCAAACAGGAUUAGAUACCCGAGUAGUC
RNAcentral lists this ribosomal RNA (440 nucleotides) under uncultured bacterium. Its description in RNAcentral is "partial 16S ribosomal RNA". It matches the Rfam family "Bacterial small subunit ribosomal RNA", at positions 338 to 795 of the family's 1533-position model. The record is from RNAcentral.